ACAAAUCAAUUACAAUACUUGGUUGCUCAACCGUCAACAGAUUGACGAUUGGCUUUUAGGACAUAUUUUUCAACACUUCAUCCCAUCGUACCAACAUCACCACUCCUUGGCUAACAGAAAGCCAAACUAAUAAUCAGGUGCAGCCACCAGUGGCAGAAACUCCCCCACCUCCUCAACCAGUGGUAGUGAUGGUGGAUCAGUUCAACCUGCUCUUUCAAUAGAUCCAAAAUCCGACGAUCGCUGUCCAGAUGAUCCAAGCCACUCCUGUACCUUCAUAGGCAGUGCCAUAGCCUGAUCAGGCCAUCCCUACACCUCUAUCGGUGGCACCACCAUCAAAUCUGACCUCAUAGUCGCCACC
This 358-nucleotide long non-coding RNA is filed under the name Elaeis guineensis (African oil palm). RNAcentral describes it as "long non-coding RNA (EGUI_LNC035271)". The record is from RNAcentral. Lineage: Eukaryota; Viridiplantae; Streptophyta; Magnoliopsida; Arecales; Arecaceae.